GCGCGCGUAGCUCAGUGGUAGAGCAUUCGUCUGAUAAGCGAAAGGUCCCUGGUCCGAUCCCAGGCGCGCGCA
RNAcentral lists this transfer RNA (72 nucleotides) under Candidatus Yanofskybacteria bacterium RIFCSPHIGHO2_01_FULL_44_17. RNAcentral's name for it is "tRNA-Ile". It matches the Rfam family "tRNA". From Rfam's summary of the family: Transfer RNA (tRNA) molecules are approximately 80 nucleotides in length. Their secondary structure includes four short double-helical elements and three loops (D, anti-codon, and T loops). Lineage: Bacteria; Candidatus Yanofskyibacteriota. The record is from RNAcentral.